Molecule: transfer RNA, 67 nt
Filed under: Anterastes babadaghi
Lineage: Eukaryota; Metazoa; Arthropoda; Insecta; Orthoptera; Tettigoniidae
Description: tRNA-Glu
Source: RNAcentral
AUUUAUAUAGUUUAAAUAAAACAAUACAUUUUCAUUGUAUAAAUAAUAUACUUUAUAUUUAUAAAUA